UNUUUAGAGUUUGAUCCCUGGCUCAGAACGAACGCUGGCGGCAGGCUUAACACAUGCAAGUCGAACGCCCCNCAAGGGGAGUGGCAGACGGGUGAGUAACGCGUGGGAACGUACCCUUUACUACNGAAUAACUCAGGGAAACUUGUGCUAAUACCGUAUGUGCCCUUCGGGGGAAAGAUUUAUCGGUAAAGGAUCGGCCCGCGUUGGAUUAGCUAGUUGGUGGGGUAAAGGCCUACCAAGGCGACGAUCCAUAGCUGGUCUGAGAGGAUGAUCAGCCACAUUGGGACUGAGACACGGCCCAAACUCCUACGGGAGGCAGCAGUGGGGAAUNGUUGNACAAUGGGCGCAAGCCUGAUCCAGCCAUGCCGCGUGAGUGAUUNAGGCCCUAGGGNAUAAAGCUCUUUCACUNUUNAAGAUAANNNNNNAACCGGAGAAGAAGNCCCGCAAUUCGC
This 452-nucleotide ribosomal RNA is filed under the name Rhizobium sp. RNAcentral's name for it is "partial 16S ribosomal RNA". It matches the Rfam family "Bacterial small subunit ribosomal RNA", at positions 1 to 504 of the family's 1533-position model. Lineage: Bacteria; Pseudomonadati; Pseudomonadota; Alphaproteobacteria; Hyphomicrobiales; Rhizobiaceae. The record is from RNAcentral.